Non-coding RNA from Aphelenchus avenae, 72 nucleotides. The record is from the annotation of a GenBank genome assembly. Lineage: Eukaryota; Metazoa; Nematoda; Chromadorea; Rhabditida; Aphelenchidae.
GGGGGUAUAGCUCAGUGGUAGAGCGCCCGCUUUGCAUGCGGGAAGUCGAGGGUUCAAACCCCUCUUCCUCCA